Molecule: ribosomal RNA, 305 nt
Filed under: uncultured bacterium
Lineage: Bacteria
Description: bacterial SSU rRNA
Rfam family: Bacterial small subunit ribosomal RNA
Source: RNAcentral
CCUACGGGGGGCAGCAGUGGGGAAUAUUGCACAAUGGGCGAAAGCCUGAUGCAGCAACGCCGCGUGAAGGAAGACGGUUUUCGGAUUGUAAACUUCUAUCAAUAGGGAAGAAAGAAAUGACGGUACCUAAAUAAGAAGCCCCGGCUAACUACGUGCCAGCAGCCGCGGUAAUACGUAGGGGGCAAGCGUUAUCCGGAAUUACUGGGUGUAAAGGGAGCGUAGACGGCAGGGCAAGUCUGGAGUGAAAGCCCGGGGCCCAACCCCGGGACUGCUUUGGAAACUGCCAUGCUGGAGUGCUGGAGAGG